Molecule: long non-coding RNA, 150 nt
Organism: Oncorhynchus keta (chum salmon)
Lineage: Eukaryota; Metazoa; Chordata; Actinopteri; Salmoniformes; Salmonidae
Exons: 4
Source: RefSeq, a predicted model, not a curated record
UUCUCAUGAUGGCUGGAGGAGGUACUGUGUGCCUGCAUAUUCUCAUGAUGGCUGGAGGAGGUACUGUGUGUCUGCAUAUUCUCAUGAUGGCUAGAGGAGGUACUGUGUGUCUGCAUAUUCUCAUGAUGGCUAGAGGAGGUACUGUGUGCC